This is a long non-coding RNA of Oncorhynchus tshawytscha (Chinook salmon), 870 nucleotides long. The record is from Ensembl. NCBI's taxonomy places the organism in Eukaryota, Metazoa, Chordata, Actinopteri, Salmoniformes, Salmonidae.
GGAAACUGGAUAAACAAUGUUAAUUCUGUUAGUGCUUGGAGGCUGUGGACUCAUGUGGAUCUUGGGGUCAGGUCUGACACGAAGACAAUCAACCGAUCUCCACAGACCACUGUCGUACCUCUGAUGCGUGUCCCUGCUAAUUGUCCAAGAGAUUUCAACCUGUUGUCGUUUGAUCCAGACGGGGAUGAGGUCAGAUGCAGAUAUGCAGUACCAACGGACGAGUGUGUCACAUCAAGUGACCUUCCUAAUGACUUCACUCUACAAGAGAACUGCACCUUGUCAUUUUGGGGCAACAGUAGUACCACUGGAACAUAUGCAGUUCAGAUAGUGAUGGAGGAUUUCCCGACUCAGACCAUCUCUCUCUCCUAUACUGACGGAUCUCAAUCUAUCAGGACCUCAAACAACACACUCUGCAAACUACCUGUUCAGUUUGCAGUGAGAGUGGACCCCCCGGUGACAUCCUGUAUGGAGGGCUUGUACCUACCUAUGUUCCUGUCUCCAACGCCAGCCCAGGGUGCACUGCUCUACGCCUCUGCAGACCAACCCCUGGAAAUCACUGUCAGAGCACAGGCUACCCAGUCCACGGUUUCAGAGCUGUUGGUGAGUGGACCUUCCAGUAUCACAGAGAACACCACUGUCCCAGGAGAAUACCUUCUAAGGUGGACGCCCACUGAGGAUGAGGAGGGAGGGUACUAUCCUGUGUGCUUCAUCGCUCAGGGAGUGAACGACAGUUCCAUGUAUCACUCUGAGCUGCGCUGCCUGAUCGUCAGGGUUGGAAACACAAGUGCCAUCAGAACCACAGAGGAACCAACAACCUCCCCUCCUCCGGCAAUAAACCUCACAACAACAGAGGAACAAACAACCUCCCCU